Molecule: small RNA, 28 nt
Filed under: Bombyx mori (domestic silkworm)
Lineage: Eukaryota; Metazoa; Arthropoda; Insecta; Lepidoptera; Bombycidae
Description: ovarian small RNA-17496
Source: RNAcentral
GGGAGCUGCGGUGAUUGAUCAGUUAUAC